Molecule: ribosomal RNA, 293 nt
Filed under: uncultured eukaryote
Lineage: Eukaryota
Description: partial 18S ribosomal RNA
Rfam family: Eukaryotic small subunit ribosomal RNA
Source: RNAcentral
GGUUGAUCCUGCCAGCAAUCAUAUGCUUGUCUCAAAGAUUAAGCCAUGCAUGUCUAAGUAUAAGUGUUUAUACUGCGAAACUGCGGAUGGCUCAUUAUAUCAGUUAUAAUCUACUUGAUCGAUUCUGUUACUUGGAUAACUGUAGGAAUUCUAGAGCUAAUACAUGCAAAAAGUCUGGAUCGGGGGGUGGUAACACACACUCUAGGAAGGACGCAUUUACUAGUCGAGAAAUCAGGAUGGGGCGUUAACCUUUGGGCAACCGAAGGGUUCCAUUUUACAACAGACGAUUCACA